Molecule: long non-coding RNA, 380 nt
Organism: Gallus gallus (chicken)
Lineage: Eukaryota; Metazoa; Chordata; Aves; Galliformes; Phasianidae
Source: Ensembl
UUCAGUUUGCUUGAGGCAAACAAUUGUAUUGUGUAUUACAGCAUGCAAGAGAUCUAAUUUUUUUUCCAUGCAGUAAAUUAGUAGCAGUUCAUUGUAAAGGUCAUCCUUCUUUGCAUCGCUUGCUAUGGGAGAUGUAGGAUUUCCUGGAGUUAGCUUUUGAUAGAUGCAGUCCUUCCAUUAAAGUUAAAUUUUUGAGGAUGGGACAGAAGUACAGCUACAGUUCUCUUGAGGAAGGAGGGAGUGAGAAACACUGCGCAAGUGACAUCUUCCCCUGUAUUAGCAACCACACUGAACUUCUGGUCAGCUUUUUAUGAGUUCAUGACAGGUUGGCUCUUCACAGAAGCCAGUACUUGCCAUUGGUUAAAGUUGCUGUGACACAG